Molecule: ribosomal RNA, 433 nt
Filed under: uncultured bacterium
Lineage: Bacteria
Description: bacterial SSU rRNA
Rfam family: Bacterial small subunit ribosomal RNA
Source: RNAcentral
AACGAACGCUGGCGGCAGGCCUAACACAUGCAAGUCGAGCGCAUCCUUCGGGAUGAGCGGCGGACGGGUGAGUAUCGCGUGGGAACGUGCCCUUCUCUACGGAAUAGUCCUGGGAAACUGGGGGUAAUACCGUAUACGCCCUUUUGGGGAAAGAUUUAUCGGAGAAGGAUCGGCCCGCGUUGGAUUAGGUAGUUGGUGGGGUAAUGGCUCACCAAGCCGACGAUCCAUAGCUGGUUUGAGAGGAUGAUCAGCCACACUGGGACUGAGACACGGCCCAGACUCCUACGGGAGGCAGCAGUGGGGAAUCUUAGACAAUGGGGGCAACCCUGAUCUAGCCAUGCCGCGUGAGUGAUGAAGGCCUUAGGGUUGUAAAGCUCUUUCAGCUGUGAAGAUAAUGACGGUAGCAGCAGAAGAAGUCCCGGCUAACUCCGUG